GCCUCGGUGGCUUAGCGGCUAAAGCGUUACAUUGAAGUCGUAAACAGGGGAGUUCGAUUCUCUCCCGAGGCA
Molecule: transfer RNA, 72 nt
Filed under: Schizopora paradoxa
Lineage: Eukaryota; Fungi; Basidiomycota; Agaricomycetes; Hymenochaetales; Schizoporaceae
Also listed under: 4 other names
Description: tRNA-Phe
Rfam family: tRNA
About the family: Transfer RNA (tRNA) molecules are approximately 80 nucleotides in length. Their secondary structure includes four short double-helical elements and three loops (D, anti-codon, and T loops). Further hydrogen bonds mediate the characteristic L-shaped molecular structure. tRNAs have two regions of fundamental functional importance: the anti-codon, which is responsible for specific mRNA codon recognition, and the 3' end, to which the tRNAs corresponding amino acid is attached (by aminoacyl-tRNA synthetases). tRNAs cope with the degeneracy of the genetic code in two manners: having more than one tRNA (with a specific anti-codon) for a particular amino acid; and 'wobble' base-pairing, i.e. permitting non-standard base-pairing at the 3rd anti-codon position.
Source: RNAcentral